This 826-nucleotide ribosomal RNA is filed under the name Sordaria brevicollis. Its description in RNAcentral is "eukaryotic LSU rRNA". It matches the Rfam family "Eukaryotic large subunit ribosomal RNA", at positions 74 to 933 of the family's 3401-position model. RNAcentral also lists the same sequence under 2 other names. The record is from RNAcentral. Lineage: Eukaryota; Fungi; Ascomycota; Sordariomycetes; Sordariales; Sordariaceae.
AUUGCCCUAGUAACGGCGAGUGAAGCGGCAACAGCUCAAAUUUGAAAUCUGGCUUCGGCCCGAGUUGUAAUUUGUAGAGGAAGCUUUUGGUGAGGCACCUUCUGAGUCCCCUGGAACGGGGCGCCAUAGAGGGUGAGAGCCCCGUAUAGUCGGAUGCCGAUCCAAUGUAAAGCUCCUUCGACGAGUCGAGUAGUUUGGGAAUGCUGCUCAAAAUGGGAGGUAAAUUUCUUCUAAAGCUAAAUACCGGCCAGAGACCGAUAGCGCACAAGUAGAGUGAUCGAAAGAUGAAAAGCACUUUGAAAAGAGGGUUAAAUAGCACGUGAAAUUGUUGAAAGGGAAGCGUUUGUGACCAGACUUGCGCCGUUCCGAUCAUCCGGUGUUCUCACCGGUGCACUCGGGGCGGCUCAGGCCAGCAUCGGUUUUGGUGGGGGGAUAAAGGUUCGGGGAACGUAGCUCCUCCGGGAGUGUUAUAGCCCCGGGCGUAAUGCCCUCGCCGGGACCGAGGUUCGCGCAUCUGCAAGGAUGCUGGCGUAAUGGUCAUCAACGACCCGUCUUGAAACACGGACCAAGGAGUCAAGGUUUUGCGCGAGUGUUUGGGUGUAAAACCCGCACGCGUAAUGAAAGUGAACGUAGGUGAGAGCUUCGGCGCAUCAUCGACCGAUCCUGAUGUAUUCGGAUGGAUUUGAGUAAGAGCGUUAAGCCUUGGACCCGAAAGAUGGUGAACUAUGCUUGGAUAGGGUGAAGCCAGAGGAAACUCUGGUGGAGGCUCGCAGCGGUUCUGACGUGCAAAUCGAUCGUCAAAUCUGAGCAUGGGGGCGAAAGACUA